RNAcentral lists this ribosomal RNA (468 nucleotides) under uncultured bacterium. RNAcentral describes it as "partial 16S ribosomal RNA". It matches the Rfam family "Bacterial small subunit ribosomal RNA", at positions 28 to 507 of the family's 1533-position model. The record is from RNAcentral.
GACGAACGCUGGCGGCGUGCUUAACACAUGCAAGUCGAACGGAAAGGCCCUGCUUUUGUGGGGUGCUCGAGUGGCGAACGGGUGAGUAACACGUGAGUAACCUGCCCUUGACUUUGGGAUAACUUCAGGAAACUGGGGCUAAUGCCGGAUAGGAGCUCCUGCUGCAUGGUGGGGGUUGGAAAGUUUCGGCGGUUGGGGAUGGACUCGCGGCUUAUCAGCUUGUUGGUGGGGUAGUGGCUUACCAAGGCUUUGACGGGUAGGCGGCCUGAGAGGGUGACCGGCCACAUUGGGACUGAGAGACGGCCCAGACUCCUACGGGAGGCAGCAGUGGGGAAUAUUGCACAAUGGGCGGAAGCCUGAGGCAGCAACGCCGCGUGCGGGAUGACGGCCUUCGGGUUGUAAACCGCUUUCGCCUGUGACGAAGCGUGAGUGACGGUAAUGGGUAAAGAAGCACCGGCUAACUACGUG